Kitasatospora griseola is the source of this 71-nucleotide transfer RNA. It matches the Rfam family "tRNA". From Rfam's summary of the family: Transfer RNA (tRNA) molecules are approximately 80 nucleotides in length. Their secondary structure includes four short double-helical elements and three loops (D, anti-codon, and T loops). Further hydrogen bonds mediate the characteristic L-shaped molecular structure. tRNAs have two regions of fundamental functional importance: the anti-codon, which is responsible for specific mRNA codon recognition, and the 3' end, to which the tRNAs corresponding amino acid is attached (by aminoacyl-tRNA synthetases). tRNAs cope with the degeneracy of the genetic code in two manners: having more than one tRNA (with a specific anti-codon) for a particular amino acid; and 'wobble' base-pairing, i.e. permitting non-standard base-pairing at the 3rd anti-codon position. Lineage: Bacteria; Bacillati; Actinomycetota; Actinomycetes; Kitasatosporales; Streptomycetaceae. The record is from Rfam.
GUCCCCGUGGUGUAGCGGUAACACAACAGGCCCUCAACCUGUGGUGAGGGGUUCAACUCCCCUCGGGGGUA